Non-coding RNA from Onthophagus taurus, 1762 nucleotides. The record is from RefSeq and is a predicted model, not a curated record. NCBI's taxonomy places the organism in Eukaryota, Metazoa, Arthropoda, Insecta, Coleoptera, Scarabaeidae.
UGCAUCAGCACGUUCAACUAGUUGCUAAGUUAAAAUAGUGUUAUAAUAAUGAUUGAAAUAAUGUUAAAAUUAUGAUCAAAAAAAUAAUGAAUUUACAACAUGACUACUUUUUCUGUCAACAUACAGGGAGAGUCAGAUAGAGUACAGAUAAUAAAUGAAAUUAUUUUCAGAGCCAAGUGUGAUGGUAUACCAGCAUCAUGGAAAAAUUAGUGGAAGCAGGCCUUACGGAAAUCGGCGGGUUCAUAAAAUUGAAUGCAGAAAUCACUUGCUCAAAAAUUGCUGCAAUAAAAUCCGCGAAAUAAGUAAAAGACCACGAAGCAACGGUACCAAUUGCAAUUCGUCAAUCUAUAAAAGCGAAUAUUUUGCGGUUUCGAAUUGCAGUUAUAAAACCAAUGAGACACCGAGCGUCGGAUUCUAGUGAGGACUUGCCACAGAAAGUAACUUCACUAAAAAAAAGGACAUAUUAAAUAGUCUACAUCACAUUUUUGGUAACCACGAAAAAUAUGAUGUGUAUUAUCGCACAGGUCCAAAACCCACAAAAAAAAAUUUAGUUCCUGAUGUGGUCGAAUGUUUUUCAAGGCUUAAAGUCAUGUUUACAUAGAUUAGAAUAUAUUGCCUACAGCCCCAUCCUCAACAUGACUAAUAAUUCUGCCGAAUCAUGCAAUUCCAUUGUAUGUAAAUUUAUUGGUGGCAAAAGAAUUAAUUUUAGUUUGCGAAAUUCGUAUGAAAUGAGAUGUAAAGCUACUGGCAUAUCACACAGUAAUGCCAGAAAUUAUUACGAGGUCUUACACAAUGCCUUAAGUAAAAAAACUUCCAGUAUUACCAAAAAAUAUAUGUUGAAGAAGAGAAUAAUAAACAGACAUCGAGAUACACCGCGGAAGAAAAACCGUCUACCUCCUGCCUUUGCAGACGAAAAUUACGGGGAAAAAGAUCCUACGAUCCUGCCAUUACAAACAUGUCAGAGGAAAAGUUUUCUGAUGAAUUUUACUUAAAAAAAAACUGCUGGGGAAAGUUCUGUGGUGGAAAUAUCCACCAGCGGCCAAAGUUCGAAUCCCUUGUGGCUAAAAGAACGUCGAAAACAGCUGACAGCGUCAAAUUUCGGAAAAACACUAUAAAAGCUCUUUUGUAUAGAAAAACCACUGAAUCAAAACCAAAUAAUUAUGGAAGAGAAUGUGAGACCAUCCCAAAAGCAGAGUUUUGUACUAAAACUAGUUUGGUUGUUGAAAAGUGUGGUUUGCUUAUAGGUAAGGACGAAGAGUAUUUUUUGACUGCUAAUCCUGACGAUCUUGUUGGCAAUAAGGCAAAAAUUUCAUAUAAAGUGUCCUUAUACUGCAAGGGAUAUGACGGUGGAGGAGGCUAUAGAGCAAAGGAAAAUCGAGUUUUGAAAAUCUAUCUCUUUAAUCAAUCUCUUUAAAAUAUAUCUCUUUAAAUGCUUCUCUCACUGAAAGAGGUGAAAUAAAAAAAAAACUUCAUUUAAGUGGACGGGAGGUGGACAAAGAAAAAUUUCGCCUGUUAGAAGAUCCAAAAACAACGAGCAUUAUGGGAAAAUAUGCAAAAAAAUUUUAAAAAUUUAUAUUUCAAAUGUGUACUACCAAAAUUAGUAGAUCCUAGGUUUUCCAGAUCUCCACCUCACAAUAUAAUUCGGAAUCCCGAUCAAAGAGAUUGACUCUAAAAAACGAUUAUGGAGUUCAGUACGCUGUUUAUCCAAGUCAACAACAAGUCGAAUAUGCACCUAAAAAACUGCGUCAACGCGAAAAGGAAG